UUUUCAUCAAAAGUGCAAUAACAAAACUUGUUCCCAUUCAUCCUGUGUCUCCAUGCACACUUGUGCUCCUUAUCCGCUCAAAACGCUAUACAGCGAACGAGAAGGCGCUAGGAGCAAAGGAAAGUGGUUUUUCUAACAAACUCGUAUAAUCAGUUGACCGACCUACUCCAAUUUGAUUCUUUUCACAUAUUUAGACAUAGUAUAGUACUAUGAAAUGUUUCUGACCCAAAAUAUUACGAAAUAUGAUUGUUUACAUUAAAAUGCAAAAUUGAUGUUACAGUGUGAUAAGGUGAAAAAAGUGACAUUUUAUGUCUAGAAAGUCACUUUUCAUCAAAAGUACAAUAACAAAACUAGUUCCCAUUCAUCCUGUGUCCCCUUACACACUUGUGCUCUUUAUCCGCUCAAAACGCUAUACAGCGAACGAGAAGGCGCUAGGAGCAAAGGAAAGUGGUUUUUCGAACAAACUCAUAUAAUCAGUUGCACGACCUACUCCAAUUUGAUUCUUUUCACAUAUUUAGACAUAGUAUAGUACUAUGAAAUGUUUCUGACCUAAAAUAUUACGAAAUAUGAUUGUUUACAUUAAAAUGUAAAAGUUGAUGUUACAGUGUAAUAAG
Molecule: long non-coding RNA, 614 nt
Organism: Ictalurus punctatus (channel catfish)
Lineage: Eukaryota; Metazoa; Chordata; Actinopteri; Siluriformes; Ictaluridae
Source: Ensembl